This 696-nucleotide ribosomal RNA is filed under the name uncultured marine group I thaumarchaeote. RNAcentral describes it as "bacterial SSU rRNA". It matches the Rfam family "Archaeal small subunit ribosomal RNA", at positions 1 to 704 of the family's 1478-position model. The record is from RNAcentral. Lineage: Archaea; Thermoproteati; Nitrososphaerota.
UUCUGGUUGAUCCUGCCGGACCUGACUGCUAUCGGAUUGAUACUAAGCCAUGCGAGUCUUUGUAGUAAUACAAGGCAUACGGCUCAGUAACGCGUAGUCAACCUACCCUAUGGACAAGAAUAAUCUCGGGAAACUGAGCAUAAUUCUUGAUAGACCAUAAUGCCUGGAAUGGUUUAUGGUUAAAACGAUUCGUCGCCAUAGGAUGGGACUGCGGCCUAUCAGCUUGUUGGUGAGGUAAUGGCCCACCAAGGCGAUUACAGGUACGGGCUCUGAGAGGAAAAGCCCGGAGAUGGGUACUGAGACAAGGACCCAGGCCCUAUGGGGCGCAGCAGGCGAGAAAACUUUGCAAUGUGCGAAAGCACGACAAGGUUAGUCCGAGUGAUUUCUGCUAAAGAGAUCUUUUGCUAGUUAUAAAACCACUAGUGAAUAAGGGGUGGGCAAGUUCUGGUGUCAGCCGCCGCGGUAAAACCAGCACCUCAAGUGGUCAGGAUGAUUAUUGGGCCUAAAGCAUCCGUAGCCGGCUCUGUAAGUUUUCGGUUAAAUCUAUGCGCUCAACGUAUGGGCUGCCGAAAAUACUGUAGAGAUAGGGAGUGGGAGAGGUAGACGGUACUCGGUAGGAAGGGGUAAAAUCCUUUGAUCUAUCGAUGACCACCUGUGGCGAAGGCGGUCUACCAGAACACGUUCGACGGUGAGGGA